This 457-nucleotide ribosomal RNA is filed under the name Lactiplantibacillus plantarum. RNAcentral's name for it is "bacterial SSU rRNA". It matches the Rfam family "Bacterial small subunit ribosomal RNA", at positions 413 to 861 of the family's 1533-position model. The record is from RNAcentral. Lineage: Bacteria; Bacillati; Bacillota; Bacilli; Lactobacillales; Lactobacillaceae.
UGGUUUCGGCUCGUAAAACUCUGUUGUUAAAGAAGAACAUAUCUGAGAGUAACUGUUCAGGUAUUGACGGUAUUUAACCAGAAAGCCACGGCUAACUACGUGCCAGCAGCCGCGGUAAUACGUAGGUGGCAAGCGUUGUCCGGAUUUAUUGGGCGUAAAGCGAGCGCAGGCGGUUUUUUAAGUCUGAUGUGAAAGCCUUCGGCUCAACCGAAGAAGUGCAUCGGAAACUGGGAAACUUGAGUGCAGAAGAGGACAGUGGAACUCCAUGUGUAGCGGUGAAAUGCGUAGAUAUAUGGAAGAACACCAGUGGCGAAGGCGGCUGUCUGGUCUGUAACUGACGCUGAGGCUCGAAAGUAUGGGUAGCAAACAGGAUUANAUACCCUGGUAGUCCAUACCGUAAACGAUGAAUGCUAAGUGUUGGAGGGUUUCCGCCCUUCAGUGCUGCAGCUAACGCAUU